RNAcentral lists this ribosomal RNA (505 nucleotides) under uncultured bacterium. RNAcentral's name for it is "partial 16S ribosomal RNA". It matches the Rfam family "Bacterial small subunit ribosomal RNA", at positions 28 to 507 of the family's 1533-position model. The record is from RNAcentral.
GACGAACGCUGGCGGCGUGCCUAAUACAUGCAAGUAGAACGCACAGUUUAUACCGUAGCUUGCUACACUAUAGACUGUGAGUUGCGAACGGGUGAGUAACGCGUAGGUAACCUGCCUGGUAGCGGGGGAUAACUAUUGGAAACGAUAGCUAAUACCGCAUAAUAUUAAUUAUUGCAUGAUAAUUAAUUGAAAGGUGCAAUUGCACCACUACCAGAUGGACCUGCGUUGUAUUAGCUAGUAGGUGAGGUAACGGCCCACCUAGGCGACGAUACAUAGCCGACCUGAGAGGGUGAGCUGCCACACUGGGACUGGAACACGACCCAGAAUACUACGGGAGGCAGCCGUAGGGAAUCUUCGGCAAUGGACGAAAGUGUGAACAAGGGACGCCGCGUGAGAGACGGAUGCUGUCGGAUCGUGAAGGUCUGUUGGGAGAGAGGGAUGGGAAUGAGUGUGGACAGUUCACACUAUGACGGUAUCUUACGAGAAAGGGACGGCUAACUACGUG